CAUGAACCCAAGGCUGAUACGUAGGAAUGAGGAAAGUUCCAGUGUCCUUGAGGGGCUUGUCCAGGUUACUUGGUAGAGUGUACGGCCUGGGGCCUUCUACCAGCUAUAUCCUUUCCCACUCCUGCACUCCCAGGAUGGGCUCAGCGGAGUUAGCGGAGCUUCUGUCCAAAGUAGGCUUAAGCCCAUCUCUUCCCAUCCCUGCCAAGGGCAGAGAGCCUGGAGGGAAGAAGAGACAGAUGGCUCCAAAAAGGUGCUCCCCUCCCCCAACCCAAAGGGCCCUUACAGUUUAGAUGCCUGGAUAGUGAAAAACUAAUCCUGGAGGCUGUGAUCCCCAGAGCUCCCUUGUGUGGCAAGUUGGAGAGAGCAGUGAGCCAGCAUUCAGGGGAUCUAGGAGGGUUGGGUGGAGGUCAUGAGGCAGCCAGCCCCUGGGACAGACCGGAAGGAUAGGAGGACUCUUUUACCCUCCAGCUUCCUGCCUUCUAUUUUGAGCCCUACUCAUUUCAGAAUACUGGCCUUCCCACAACUUUGUUAUUAAAAUAUCUUUGUUAUAC
RNAcentral lists this long non-coding RNA (551 nucleotides) under Rattus norvegicus (Norway rat). Its description in RNAcentral is "long non-coding RNA NONRATT027230". Lineage: Eukaryota; Metazoa; Chordata; Mammalia; Rodentia; Muridae. The record is from RNAcentral.